GCGGUGUGCCUAAUACAUGCAAGUCGUACGCACUGGCCCAACUGAUCGAUGGUGCUUGCACCUGAUUGACGUUGGAUCACCAGUGAGUGGCGGACGGGUGAGUAACACGUAGGUAACCUGCCCCGGAGCGGGGGAUAACAUUUGGAAACAGAUGCUAAUACCGCAUAACAACAAAAGCCACAUGACUUUUGUUUGAAAGAUGGCUUUAGCUAUCACUCUGGGAUGGACCUGCGGUGCAUUAGCUAGUUGGUAAGGUAACGGCUUACCAAGGCGAUGAUGCAUAGCCGAGUUGAGAGACUGAUCGGCCACAAUGGAACUGAGACACGGUCCAUACUCCUACGGGAGGCAGCAGUAGGGAAUCUUCCACAAUGGGCGCAAGCCUGAUGGAGCAACACCGCGUGAGUGAAGAAGGGUUUCGGCUCGUAAAGCUCUGUUGUUGGAGAAGAACGUGCGUGAGAGUAACUGUUCACGCAGUGACGGUAUCCAACCAGAAAGUCACGGCUAACUACGUGCCAGCAGCCGCGGUAAUACGUAGGUGGCAAGCGUUAUCCGGAUUUAUUGGGCGUAAAGCGAGCGCAGGCGGUUGCUUAGGUCUGAUGUGAAAGCCUUCGGCUUAACCGAAGAAGUGCAUCGGAAACCGGGCGACUUGAGUGCAGAAGAGGACAGUGGAACUCCAUGUGUAGCGGUGGAAUGCGUAGAUAUAUGGAAGAACACCAGUGGCGAAGGCGGCUGUCUGGUCUGCAACUGACGCUGAGGCUCGAAAGCAUGGGUAGCGAACAGGAUUAGAUACCCUGGUAGUCCAUGCCGUAAACGAUGAGUGCUAGGUGUUGGAGGGUUUCCGCCCUUCAGUGCCGGAGCUAACGCAUUAAGCACUCCGCCUGGGGAGUACGACCGCAAGGUUGAAACUCAAAGGAAUUGACGGGGGCCCGCACAAGCGGUGGAGCAUGUGGUUUAAUUCGAAGCUACGCGAAGAACCUUACCAGGUCUUGACAUCUUGCGCUAACCUUAGAGAUAAGGCGUUCCCUUCGGGGACGCAAUGACAGGUGGUGCAUGGUCGUCGUCAGCUCGUGUCGUGAGAUGUUGGGUUAAGUCCCGCAACGAGCGCAACCCUUGUUACUAGUUGCCAGCAUUAAGUUGGGCACUCUAGUGAGACUGCCGGUGACAAACCGGAGGAAGGUGGGGACGACGUCAGAUCAUCAUGCCCCUUAUGACCUGGGCUACACACGUGCUACAAUGGACGGUACAACGAGUUGCAAACUCGCGAGAGCAAGCUAAUCUCUUAAAGCCGUUCUCAGUUCGGACUGUAGGCUGCAACUCGCCUACACGAAGUCGGAAUCGCUAGUAAUCGCGGAUCAGCAUGCCGCGGUGAAUACGUUCCCGG
This 1381-nucleotide ribosomal RNA is filed under the name uncultured bacterium. RNAcentral's name for it is "bacterial SSU rRNA". It matches the Rfam family "Bacterial small subunit ribosomal RNA", at positions 39 to 1377 of the family's 1533-position model. The record is from RNAcentral.